This 897-nucleotide ribosomal RNA is filed under the name Triticum aestivum (bread wheat). Its description in RNAcentral is "partial small subunit ribosomal RNA". The record is from RNAcentral. Lineage: Eukaryota; Viridiplantae; Streptophyta; Magnoliopsida; Poales; Poaceae.
GUGCUCCGCAUUGGUACCUCUAUCUCGGUGGGGUCCGGCCUCUCGAUGCUCUUCUGGUUUGAUCGCUGGGCCGGCGACUCUCCCUUCGCGGCCCGCUUCCCCACCCUCUUCUCUAUCGUUGUCGACCCCAUGAUCUCUGUUGAUAGGGCCCUUCUUGACUUACGGCGCCUCGCUUUCCGUCGGCCAUUUGGGCCGGCGGAAUCCGCCGCCUGGCGUGAGUUGCUUGACUGCGUUGCUCUGCAUGAGCCGGUGGUGGAUGGGGAUCAGGAUCUUGUGCGCUGGCACCUGGAGCCGUCGGGCCAGUUCUCUACCAAAUCGCUAUACUUGGCCAUUGCCCCCUCCUCCGCUCCCCUUCCCCUAUCGAUGGUGUGGUCCGUCCGCGUCCCCCUGAAGAUUCGCAUCUUCAUGUGGCAGUGGAUCCGUGGACGGAUCCCGUCCGGUGUGGAGGUCCGCAAGCGUAAUGGCUCGGGCACUGGUAUCUGCCCCCUCUGUGCUGUUCCCGAGGACUCCAACCACAUCUUCUUCGCCUGCGUCUCCGCCCGGUUCCUCUGGAGCUGCUUUCGUGAGAUUGUCGGUGGGAGUUGGUGCCACACCAAUUUCCCGGACUUAUUUGCUGAACUCCAAUUGUCCCCUUCGUCCUCUCGCCACAUUAGGUGGCUCGAGGUUGGGGUCCUUUCCUGGACGCUUUGGACCGUUCGCAAUAAGCUAGUGAUCCAGCGUACUCCUCUUCGUCGCGCUACUGAUGCUCUCUACAAAUUCUCGGGUUUCUUGCAGCUUUGGCGGCCGCUUAGCCGCCCCCUGGAUCGGGACGCCAUCUCUGCCUUCAUCGCCGAUCUCCGCUCGAUGGCCGUCCGCCUGUCGCCCCCGCCGCCGCCGCCUCCGCCGGAGCCUGACUAG